RNAcentral lists this long non-coding RNA (259 nucleotides) under Gossypium barbadense (sea-island cotton). RNAcentral's name for it is "long non-coding RNA (GBAR_LNC021855)". The record is from RNAcentral. Lineage: Eukaryota; Viridiplantae; Streptophyta; Magnoliopsida; Malvales; Malvaceae.
AUUGACUUCAUCUCUUUUAUUAUUAUUAUUAUUAUAAAUUUUAUAAAAAUUUCGGCUGCAUUUCUGCUUAUUUUUACAUAGAACCCCCUGCAAUUAAAACCAUAUCUUUUCCAAAAUAUAACCAAAUCAACCAAUUCAUUCCACAUUCACAUUUUCUAUUCUAAUUACUUCUAAUCAAACUCAAUCAACAUAAUAUCAAUUUAAAAUUUAACAAGGUAAUAAAUAAAUCAAAAUAGAUAAACUUCUUUCAUAAUAAUUC